RNAcentral lists this ribosomal RNA (253 nucleotides) under uncultured bacterium. RNAcentral's name for it is "partial 16S ribosomal RNA". It matches the Rfam family "Bacterial small subunit ribosomal RNA", at positions 524 to 776 of the family's 1533-position model. The record is from RNAcentral.
UACGAAGGGGGCUAGCGUUGUUCGGAAUUACUGGGCGUAAAGCGUGCGCAGGCGGUCUUCCAAGUCAGUGGUGAAAGCCCGGAGCUCAACUCCGGAACUGCCAUUGAAACUGUGAGACUCGAGUACGAGAGAGGUGAGUGGAAUUCCCAGUGUAGAGGUGAAAUUCGUAGAUAUUGGGAAGAACACCGGUGGCGAAGGCGGCUCUCUGGGACGGUACUGACGCUGAGACGCGAAAGCGUGGGGAGCGAACAGG